GGAGGACGCGUCUUGAAACCACCGGCAGCUCCAUUUGAGCCAAAACGAGGAAACGGUGCGUCAAAGGUGUGGCCGGCUGCUUCUUGGUGCCUCGCGUCCCGGAUAGGGGUCCCCCGACGCCCUGCCGGGAAGAGGGCAGGGGCCCGAGCGGGUCUCGGCGACAAUGACACGGUGGAAGUCACAGCAGGUGCAGUGAAAGUUGCCCCGGCGGAGGCAGCUCGGCCCCUUCCUGCCCGCACAGCGGAGUGGCGCUGCAGACUGAGCACACGAGUCCGCAGCCGCGCGUUCUCCUCGCUCAGAGCCAGCAGCUGGCCCUCCAGCAGCAGGAUACCGGAAAUAUCAUCUGCAAACCUGCUCACGCCCUUCAACAUAUUGCAAGUUCAGGUGAGUACAAGAAGCGCCAUUGUAAGAUCACGAUCCACAUCUCAUCCUGGCCACAGUCUAUCGCUGCACUCAUUUGAAGAGAAACGGUCAGGUGUGAAAGCACAACCGCACAAAACCAUAACUGAAAACCAGAGAAAAUUGCACAAGACCCCUCUGGUGAAGUUUGUACUGACGAGUGAGAGUAGGGAAUGUUUCGAGCAGGUAUCAGCUCUGUUUGAAAAACAAAAAAACUCCGGCAGCUUUUUCUAUCUGACUCAGUAACCACAGAGGCCACAGGCUGCCAUGUUCCAACAGUCGGGUUAUUCUUUCCGUAAGAAGCCGGUCUCCAGAUUUUGAAAAGGGGCAAAUGUUAAAGGGCUAAAUGCUAGAAUGAUUCUGAAUGCUAUUCAGUAAAUAUGUCAGAUAUAAAAACACAACAAUAACAUAAUAAAUGCAGCAGUGAUAUGGUUUUUGAGACUAACUGACUGAGUCAGGUGCUAUUGAGGAUGACUCGCUGUCAUCGUUCACAUGCUCAGAAUGCAUUAUGGAAUAUCAUAGUGGGCCUGCAUAACUUUGUUUUUUUAUACCACUGCCACAUUCACAUUAUGUGGCAACACCCACAUCCUGACUGCAGUGCUGCAGAUGAUUUCUCUUCAUGCGGAGGAUCUGUUUAGAACAAUAGCAUUUGUCCUUUUUGUUUUAUAGUUUCCAGUUUAACACUUUCAACAGUUGAUUGAUGAGCAAGUUGUUUUGUUUUUUCAUCUCAAUCUGUAGUAUUAUAAGCACAUUUUAUUUUUUAUCACGUUUUGUAACACACCGACAUGUAUUGUUAAAGUUCAAUCAUUGUUUUGUUGCAUUUAAUCUGCAGUUUUUUUUAAUUUAGUAUUUGCUUUCUUUGUUCUUACCUUUCCGUACUACUACAUUCAUACUGAUGUCAUCAUUGAUGUCAUGAUUUCUGGUUGUAUUUAUGUUACAGUACAGUUACAGUGUUAGUGUUUUCUGUAAUGUUGAAGAGUUUUCAUGGUAAAUCAUGUUUCAUUAUUGUUUGUACUGAUGAUGAACAAACUGAACAUGUAUUUGUCAUGAUUACAAUAAAAGAACUCGGGUAAGCUUAUGGUCACAGUUUGGUUUGGUUUAGGCAUAAUAACUACUUGGUUAUGUUUUGAUAAAGAUUGUGGUUUGGGUUAAAUACUUCCUUAAGUUUGGAGGACCGUCGUUGUCAAGGUUUCUGGAGUGGUCACAAAUAAAAGAAAAUCAAAA
RNAcentral lists this long non-coding RNA (1623 nucleotides) under Scophthalmus maximus (turbot). RNAcentral describes it as "lncRNA (ENSSMAG00000032070.1)". Lineage: Eukaryota; Metazoa; Chordata; Actinopteri; Pleuronectiformes; Scophthalmidae. The record is from RNAcentral.